CGGAGCGAAUCUCAAAAAGACCGUCCCAGUUCGGAUUGCAGGCUGCAACCCGCCUGCAUGAAGUUGGAAUCGCUAGUAAUCGCGGAUCAGCAUGCCGCGGUGAAUACGUUCCCGGGCCUUGUACACACCGCCCGUCACACCAUGAGAGUCGGGAACACCCGAAGUCCGUAGCCUAACCGCAAGGGGGGCGCGGCCGAAGGUGGGUUCGAUAAUUGGGGUGAAGUCGUAACAAGGUACC
Molecule: ribosomal RNA, 238 nt
Filed under: uncultured bacterium
Lineage: Bacteria
Description: partial 16S ribosomal RNA
Rfam family: Bacterial small subunit ribosomal RNA
Source: RNAcentral